UAAUGUCGGUGGUGCGUUCAACAUACGUAAGCUAAGUGGAAAAGACGGGAAUGCCGUCUUUCGACGCCAAGUGGUGGAUGGGCGAGCAAUAUGCGGGCAAUUCGUUCGCAAGAUCGGGACAAUCUUGGGAAAUUGGGGUCAACAUUGGACGGCCGCCCGAAUUGUACGGCCUAAGAUACAAAAGGCGGUCCUGGUCAUUAUCCAUAGACGGAUUUGUGGUGUACCAGUCAGCCGCCGAGGCAAUGGUCUAUUAAGGUAAAGACGUGCAGUUGAUUCGAGAGGGCGACUGGUUAUAUCGGGAUCGAGAUAAUGUUUAAAUCUUCAUGGGAGGUAGUAGCAGGGAACUCCUUUUAACCGAUUAAAGCUCCAUUGAGUAAUUUUUUUUCAAGCGACCAAGGCCCCUCGCUUUCAAAGUCUUUCCCCCCCAGGGAAAAAUAAACGGUGCCCCAAAACAAGGGGGGGAUUUCCGUA
Molecule: ribosomal RNA, 471 nt
Filed under: Bacillus sp. CIMAP B1
Lineage: Bacteria; Bacillati; Bacillota; Bacilli; Caryophanales; Bacillaceae
Description: partial 16S ribosomal RNA
Source: RNAcentral